GACGAACGCUGGCGGCGUGCCUAAUACAUGCAAGUCGAGCGAAGUUUUUCUGGUGCUUGCACUAGAAAAACUUAGCGGCGAACGGGUGAGUAACACGUAAAGAACCUGCCUCAUAGACUGGGACAACUAUUGGAAACGAUAGCUAAUACCGGAUAACAGUAUUUCUCGCAUGAGAGAUAUUUAAAAGUUGGUUAUGCUAACACUAUGAGAUGGCUUUGCGGUGCAUUAGCUAGUUGGUGGGGUAAAGGCCUACCAAGGCGACGAUGCAUAGCCGACCUGAGAGGGUGAUCGGCCACACUGGGACUGAGACACGGCCCAGACUCCUACGGGAGGCAGCAGUAGGGAAUCUUCCGCAAUGGGCGAAAGCCUGACGGAGCAACGCCGCGUGAGUGAAGAAGGAUUUCGGUUCGUAAAGCUCUGUUGUUAGGGAAGAAUGGAUAUGUAGUAACUAUACAUAUAAGAGACGGUACCUAACCA
Molecule: ribosomal RNA, 477 nt
Filed under: Gemella morbillorum
Lineage: Bacteria; Bacillati; Bacillota; Bacilli; Caryophanales; Gemellaceae
Description: bacterial SSU rRNA
Rfam family: Bacterial small subunit ribosomal RNA
Source: RNAcentral